UAGGGAGUCUUCCACAAUGGACGCAAGUCUGAUGGAGCAACGCCGCGUGAGUGAAGAAGGGUUUCGGCUCGUAAAGCUCUGUUGUUAAAGAAGAACGUGGGUAAGAGUAACUGUUUACCCAGUGACGGUAUUUAACCAGAAAGCCACGGCUAACUACGUGCCAG
This 164-nucleotide ribosomal RNA is filed under the name uncultured bacterium. RNAcentral's name for it is "partial 16S rRNA". It matches the Rfam family "Bacterial small subunit ribosomal RNA", at positions 355 to 511 of the family's 1533-position model. The record is from RNAcentral.